Girardinichthys multiradiatus is the source of this 2756-nucleotide long non-coding RNA. RefSeq lists it as uncharacterized. The transcript has 3 exons. The record is from RefSeq and is a predicted model, not a curated record. Lineage: Eukaryota; Metazoa; Chordata; Actinopteri; Cyprinodontiformes; Goodeidae.
GUUAUUUGUCAGGCGCUGUCAAUCCGUCGCUUGAUUUAUGUCAGCUAUUGUGGCUGAUUACAUGCAAGUGUCGCUGCUGGCGGAAAAAAGAGAACAAACGGGGUGACGCUGUGCAAGAGACACCAACUUUAUUACCAUUAUUAUUAUUAUUAUUCGAAGAAUCGCUUUGACUCGUUUAAUUUUAAAAUGUAUCUUCUAAAGCACGCAUCCUCACUUCAGAUUUAUUUAAGUGGAACAAAAGCAUGUGGACUUAACCUUGAAAGCGUAUUAAAUAGCGCCUGUAACUUUCGGAGUUCUCAGUAAAACACCUCGGAGGUGGCAUGUACAUGAUGAAACUUUAAUAACUUGCAGACAGUCUCGCUCACAUGUUGUGCAGAGAAGCUGUUCGUGCUUUAAGGUGCGAAAGUGCUUUUGCUAUAAUCGGCCGAUUAUGGUGUUAACAAGAAGCUUUGGUGGGGGGGAUAAGACUGUAGACAUGAAAUGCUGUAAAGAAAACAAUGGACAAUAAAAAAAGGAACUGCAAAACAAACAAAACAAAAAAAAAGCCCAAAAAUGUUUUUUUAAUUAAUAUAAUAUCUACGUUUAAGUUAUUUCCCAUAAAUGAGCUUUAGCCUAAGCGAUGGGAUAAAGUUUAACUUGUAAAAAAUGUGUUACCAUCACCGUUUUCUCUGAAUAAACGCUCUCAUCAGUUUUUGCCAAACGCAUCUGCUAUUGUGUUGCUGAAACCUGUCAUCUGCAGAAAGGAAACAGACAGGCAACAAUAUAAAUUAAUUAAAAUAAUAACAAUGUGAAGAAGACACCCAGACAUUUUUAUUUUGAUGUCAGCUCGAUUUUAUUUACAUACAAUGAAAAUGAUUUAUUUUCUUGAAAGGAGGUAAAAAAAAAAAAAAAAAAAAACGUAUAGAAGGGAGGAAGAAAAGAAGAGAGAUGGUCUGUCAGGCAGCUCAGAGAAAGGAGAGAGGACGGGAGGGGGAAGAAGUUUAAAAUGCCUUGAACUAUUCACCGCUGAGAUGGCUAAUCAGUAUUGAGGCUCCGGGGCAAUCGGGCAGCUUUUCAAUGUAGUUUUCCCUUUCAUCUCAAUCGGGGGAUGGAGGCGCUCAAUUAAAAGCCUAUCAGUUUGUCGACUUGGAGAGCAAGAAAACCUGGAGUGGACAGUGAAGGGGGGUAAAAAUAUGUUGAAUUAACUUAAAAAAAAAUCUAUAAAAGAAAAUGUGUUUUAGGACAAUUUACUAACAGCUAAAACCUAAAGGAGAGGAAAUAAACGCGAAGUAUAUACUGCAUAAGAAGCAUAAUGUUGAGGCCUAUAAUAAUAACACAAACAAGAUUAUCCUUGAGUCAUAAUUUUAAAGUUAGAUGUGCAUUUUCAAAUGAACAGUUUUUUGUAUCUAUUCGUAAAAAAAAAAAGCUUAAUCCAAAAAUACAUUUUUUUUCCUUCAAAAAAUGUUUUCACUUCUGUUUCUUUCUGCUGAAGGAAAAAAUAGAGGGUAGCGUUUCACAAUAUGCAAAGAUGCGUGACUGAUAACGGGCUUGCUGUUUUCUGCGAGAGAUGUCAGUCCCUGACACAAUAUGUGAAUUAUUAGGGCAAAGAAGGGCAAUCAUAAAUUUUCACUGUCAGGCGAAAACCCUCUUUAUUGUCCGCAUGACAAAUGGGGCUCCUGCACCAGACACCAAAAUGCUCGGCAUUCCUCUUAAAUGGGAACACAUUUCUCGCGAUCAUAAUUCACCAUAUUUAAAUAGAAAGUUUUAAUAUCCCCCCUCCGCCAUAUAUUUUGCCACACGCUGACAUGUUUAUGAAUCACCUCGCAUGCAAAUACAACUAUUUACAUCUCGAGAGGAAAUGUGUUGGGAGAUGCAGGAUUACUGUGAGCUGCAUGUUGGGCCGACGUUCAACAUUCAAUAUUAAAAUAACUUUAUUCAUGUUUUCAGAAACAGUUUUGAGUCAUAUUUGUGUGCUGAGUUUUCAAAAUGUAAACACUUUAUCACUUUACAAUUCAAUCAUUUACUUUAAAACAUCGUUUAAUAAUCUAAAAUCAAUGUAGACAAAAGACAUAAAUAUAAACAUACGUUUAUAACUAUGAGUGAAAAUAAAACAGGGCACUAAAAUGCGUACCUUACGUAUUUUGUUUCCCUUUUCAUAAGAAAUGCUCAACAAUACAUUACGUUUACCUAAAAGUCCGUGGUACGGCAUUACCUGCCUAUACGCUCCGACGCAGAGAGGCAAUUGGUAAGAAAAAACAACAGAACAACGUUAUAACAUUACACGAUAUUUCCUUUGGUUCAAAUAAAGUGUUGUUUUUUUGUUUGUUUUGUUUUUGCCUGUGUCAACCCGGCACCGAGAGGAGCAACGGAGAGGACUGGAGCCAUGCAGACUCCCUCCGCUCCAGCAGAAGGAAGAGAAGAGGGAGAAAGUGAGCUCUUCCGCGUGUGGGAGGGGUGUAUAAGCGAGUGUGAGGAGCCACAGACCUGCCCCCUGGACCUAAGACAGACAACGAGGAGGUCCGAGCCACAGACAUCCAAAGCCCCCCCCUGAGUACGGGAACCCCAGGAGAACCAGGACUCCCCCAGAGAAGAGCAGGGGAGAGUUCCAGGGAACCACCCAGCAGCCACAUUGUAGAAGCCCCAGGGACAGCAGCGACGACCCCACAGGCCCCGCCGGCAGCUGUCCACGCAGGAGCAGGUCCAGCCAUUGACCCAGAGACCAGAGACCCCGGGACACAUCACUCCCCAAGCAGAGGCCCGGCAGAGCCCAUGCCCCG